GAGCGGCGCACGGGUGAGUAACGCGUAUCCAACCUUCCCUUUAGUAGAGGAUAGCCCGGCGAAAGUCGGAUUAAUACUCUAUGUUGUAUUUAGAAGACAUCUGAAGAAUACCAAAGGUUUACCGCUAAAGGAUGGGGAUGCGUCUGAUUAGGUUGUUGGCGGGGUAACGGCCCACCAAGCCGACGAUCAGUAGGGGUUCUGAGAGGAAGGUCCCCCACAUUGGAACUGAGACACGGUCCAAACUCCUACGGGAGGCAGCAGUGAGGAAUAUUGGUCAAUGGACGAAAGUCUGAACCAGCCAAGUAGCGUGCAGGAUGACGGCCCUAUGGGUUGUAAACUGCUUUUAUAUAGGGAUAAAGUCGGGGACGUGUCCCCGUUUGUAGGUACUAUAUGAAUAAGGACCGGCUAAUUCCGUGCCAGCAGCCGCGGUAAUACGGAAGGUCCAGGCGUUAUCCGGAUUUAUUGGGUUUAAAGGGAGCGCAGGCUGAUGAUUAAGCGUGACGUGAAAUGUAGCCGCUCAACGGCUGAACUGCGUCGCGAACUGGUUAUCUUGAGUGAGUUCGAUGUUGGCGGAAUUCGUGGUGUAGCGGUGAAAUGCUU
This 600-nucleotide ribosomal RNA is filed under the name uncultured bacterium. RNAcentral describes it as "bacterial SSU rRNA". It matches the Rfam family "Bacterial small subunit ribosomal RNA", at positions 93 to 691 of the family's 1533-position model. The record is from RNAcentral.